GAGGCGCCACAUGCAGCGUGUACUGCAGGAUAACCAAAAACCGUUAAUUAUGGCGAUUAAUUAAUAAUAACGAUAUAAUAUAGUAAAGACGUUAAAAAAAGUUGGAAAAGAAGACGUAAUUCUAAACAGUUAUCCUAUUUACAGGUAUACUUGUUAUAUUAGGUCGAACAGACAGUACAGAAGGACUUUCGACUAUCGAUACAUAAAUAUUAUUGUUUAAUUUUGGUACCGAAAUCUAUGAUGAGAGACGUAAUAAAACUAUGAAUUUAAAGUAAACCACAUUAAGAUAUAAGAAUAUAAAUUUAUUAAGAGGGGUCGCUGGAGUGCUGGACGGUUCCAGCCUCUAUAAUUACAAGACUUGCCAUAGCGGAGAUUUUUUUUGUAAAGAUUACGGAAUUUUCGCGUUGGACGAACCAAGAAGAAGUUUAGAUGAAUAAAAAUGCAGACAGUUUAGGAAAUGCAUUAGCCAGAUUGGUGAGAUUGCGAUCAGAAUGUGAGAUGAUUUUUUUUUUGAACUGGUGAGAAUUAGUGAUGAGAAAAGGUUUCUGUUAAAAUUGGCUGAAUGAAGUGAAAAUGAAGAUAGUUUUGAUGAACUAUUCCUAAAGAAGAAUAAUGGACGCACGACAAUUGGACGAUGCUUGGUGGAUGAUGCGAAGCGAAUGAUGCGAAGGAAGAUUUAUGGUUGAAAGUUGAAAGAUGUGAAGAAAGUAGGGAAGAUUUUGUAUAAAUAAGAAAAAGAAAAAGAAAAAGAUGUAUCGGGGAGACUGGUAGGGAAGAAGACACUGGAGCUAGUUUCUGUAAGAAUAAAUAUGGAGCGUUUGUUUUGAAAGGGGUGCAAGUCCAGUUUGUUUGGUUUGGAUAAAAUUGAAUGUUGGCAGAUGUUGUUCCAUCGGGAAGGAAGAAACAUGUGGAGUUUUUGCGAGUAGUUAUGACACGGACGUGACCAGGGUUGGCGUUCAGAUUGUCUGGACGUUGUCCCCAAUAGCCGGACAUAUGAUAUGUCGAAUAAUCCAAGAAUCCAAGAACUGUUUCUAUGGUGGUAAAAGGUGUUUGAAAAGUGGUGUACAGUAUUUAGUUGAUUAAAAUGUAUGAUUUGUUUAAUAAAUGAAUGUAUUUUUUUU
Non-coding RNA from Megalopta genalis, 1121 nucleotides. Lineage: Eukaryota; Metazoa; Arthropoda; Insecta; Hymenoptera; Halictidae. The record is from RefSeq and is a predicted model, not a curated record.